Molecule: ribosomal RNA, 497 nt
Filed under: uncultured bacterium
Lineage: Bacteria
Description: partial 16S ribosomal RNA
Rfam family: Bacterial small subunit ribosomal RNA
Source: RNAcentral
GAUGAACGCUGGCGGCGUGCCUAAUACAUGCCAGUCGAGCGAACGGACGAGAAGCUUGCUUCUCUGAUGUUAGCGGCGGACGGGUGAGUAACACGUGGAUAACCUACCUAUAAGACUGGGAUAACUUCGGGAAACCGGAGCUAAUACCGGAUAAUAUUUUGAACCGCAUGGUUCAAAAGUAAAAGACGGUCUUGCUGUCACUUAUAGAUGGAUCCCCGCUGCAUUAGCUAGUUGGUAAGGUAACGGCUUACCAAGGCAAGGAUGCAUAGCCGACCUGAGAGGGUGAUCGGCCACACUGGAGCUGAGACACGGUCCAGACUCCUACGAGACGCAGCAGUAGGGAACGUUCCGCAGUGGGCGAAAGCCUGACGGAGCAACGCCGCGUGAGUGAUGAAGGUCUUCGGAUCGUAAAACUCUGUUAUUAGGGGAGAACAUAUGUGUAAGUAACUGUGCACAUCUUGACGGUACCUAAUCAGAAAGCCACGGCUAACUACGUG